UAAAAACCGAUGAUGUGGAGAUCAAGAUUGUUGUGCACGUAAAGAGAGUCGUCGUUGCUGAGAGUACGACCGAACGCAGGCAGUUAAAUGGACCACAGAGGGUUUCCCUGAAACAAGUAGGGGAAAACGUGUUGGCAUACGUCAGUUGCCGGAAGUGUGAACACGCACUUCGCUAAGGGUGACGGGAAUCUUCCCGUCAAAGUAAGGUGGCACCGCGGAAUAAAAAACUAUCCGUCCUUAUA
Molecule: non-coding RNA, 242 nt
Filed under: Secundilactobacillus similis
Lineage: Bacteria; Bacillati; Bacillota; Bacilli; Lactobacillales; Lactobacillaceae
Description: Lactobacillus similis T-box sequence
Rfam family: T-box leader
About the family: Uncharged tRNA acts as the effector for transcription antitermination of genes in the T-box leader family. T-boxes are found upstream of many aminoacyl-tRNA synthetase genes and some amino acid biosynthetic genes usually in Gram-positive bacteria. The anticodon of a specific tRNA base pairs to a specifier sequence within the T-box motif, and the NCCA acceptor tail of the tRNA base pairs to a conserved bulge in the T-box antiterminator hairpin.
Source: RNAcentral